Molecule: ribosomal RNA, 262 nt
Filed under: uncultured bacterium
Lineage: Bacteria
Description: partial 16S ribosomal RNA
Rfam family: Bacterial small subunit ribosomal RNA
Source: RNAcentral
GUCCACGCCCUAAACGAUGUCAACUAGGUGUCGGGAGCGCAAGUUCUUGGUACCGCAGCUAACGCGUGAAGUUGACCGCCUGGGGAGUACGGUCGCAAGAUUAAAACUCAAAGGAAUUGACGGGACCCGCACAAGCGGUGGAUGAUGUGGAUUAAUUCGAUGCAACGCGAACAACCUUACCUACCCUUGACAUGUCCGGAACCCUGCUGAAAGGUGGGGUGCCCGAAAGGGAAUCGGAACACAGGUGCUGCAUGGCUGUCGU